Molecule: small nuclear RNA, 145 nt
Organism: Leptonychotes weddellii (Weddell seal)
Lineage: Eukaryota; Metazoa; Chordata; Mammalia; Carnivora; Phocidae
Product: U4 spliceosomal RNA
Source: RefSeq, a predicted model, not a curated record
AGCUUUGCGCAGUGGCAGUAUCGUAGCCAAUGAGGUUUAUCCGAGGCGUGAUUAUUGCUAAUUGAAACUUUUCCUAAAAAUCAGUAAACUUAAAGAUACAGCAACAGAAAUUUUUACCUAACCUGAUUAAUAUUGAUCCACAGGU